Molecule: ribosomal RNA, 452 nt
Filed under: uncultured organism
Description: partial 16S ribosomal RNA
Rfam family: Bacterial small subunit ribosomal RNA
Source: RNAcentral
UACACUCCUGCGGGAGGCAGCAGUGGGGAAUAUUGGCCAAUGGGCGCAAGCCUGAUCCAGCCAUGCCGCGUGAGUGAUGAAGGCCCUAGGGUUGUAAAGCUCUUUCACCGGUGAAGAUAAUGACGGUAACCGGAGAAGAAGCCCCGGCUAACUUCGUGCCAGCAGCCGCGGUAAUACGAAGGGGGCUAGCGUUGUUCGGAUUUACUGGGCGUAAAGCGCACGUAGGCGGACUAUUAAGUCAGGGGUGAAAUCCCGGGGCUCAACCCCGGAACUGCCUUUGAUACUGGUAGUCUUGAGUUCGAGAGAGGUGAGUGGAAUUCCGAGUGUAGAGGUGAAAUUCGUAGAUAUUCGGAGGAACACCAGUGGCGAAGGCGGCUCACUGGCUCGAUACUGACGCUGAGGUGCGAAAGCGUGGGGAGCAAACAGGAUUAGAUACCCCUGUAGUCCCAUGA